GUGGGAGGGGGCUUGCCCCCGAUGGCGGCGUGUCAAUCAACACAUCUGUUACUGAUACACCGCUAUCGGGGGCAAGCCUCCUCCCAC
This 87-nucleotide unclassified non-coding RNA is filed under the name Pseudomonas grimontii. The record is from RNAcentral. Lineage: Bacteria; Pseudomonadati; Pseudomonadota; Gammaproteobacteria; Pseudomonadales; Pseudomonadaceae.